UACGUAGGGUGCAAGCGUUGUCCGGAAUUAUUGGGCGUAAAGAGCUCGUAGGCGGCUUGUCACGUCGAUUGUGAAAGCCCGAGGCUUAACCUCGGGUCUGCAGUCGAUACGGGCUAGCUAGAGUGUGGUAGGGGAGAUCGAAUUCCUGGUGUAGCGGUGAAAUGCGCAGAUAUCAGGAGGAACACCGGUGGCGAAGGCGGAUCUCUGGGCCAUUACUGACGCUGAGGAGCGAAAGCGUGGGGAGCGAACAGG
RNAcentral lists this ribosomal RNA (252 nucleotides) under uncultured bacterium. RNAcentral's name for it is "partial 16S ribosomal RNA". It matches the Rfam family "Bacterial small subunit ribosomal RNA", at positions 524 to 776 of the family's 1533-position model. The record is from RNAcentral.